UUUCAAACUUGAUCACUACCUCUGCAUAAUGUGGCAGAAGCUAAGGGAACCAGGUUUGCUAAAGUAACUUUGGUGAUAGGAAUGUAUUAGCUUUAGAAACUACUGCUGCCCAUUUUAUCCUUGUACAGUA
Small nucleolar RNA from Sciurus vulgaris (Eurasian red squirrel), 130 nucleotides. The record is from Ensembl. NCBI's taxonomy places the organism in Eukaryota, Metazoa, Chordata, Mammalia, Rodentia, Sciuridae.